RNAcentral lists this transfer RNA (72 nucleotides) under archaeon. Its description in RNAcentral is "tRNA-Asp". It matches the Rfam family "tRNA". Rfam says of the family: Transfer RNA (tRNA) molecules are approximately 80 nucleotides in length. Their secondary structure includes four short double-helical elements and three loops (D, anti-codon, and T loops). Further hydrogen bonds mediate the characteristic L-shaped molecular structure. tRNAs have two regions of fundamental functional importance: the anti-codon, which is responsible for specific mRNA codon recognition, and the 3' end, to which the tRNAs corresponding amino acid is attached (by aminoacyl-tRNA synthetases). tRNAs cope with the degeneracy of the genetic code in two manners: having more than one tRNA (with a specific anti-codon) for a particular amino acid; and 'wobble' base-pairing, i.e. permitting non-standard base-pairing at the 3rd anti-codon position. The record is from RNAcentral.
GCCUUGAUAGUGUAGUGGUUAGCACGUAGCCUUGUCGAGGCUUCGACCCGGGUUCAAAUCCCGGUCAGGGCG